This 267-nucleotide long non-coding RNA is filed under the name Mytilus galloprovincialis (Mediterranean mussel). The record is from RNAcentral. Lineage: Eukaryota; Metazoa; Mollusca; Bivalvia; Mytilida; Mytilidae.
AAAUGUUAACUGCGUUGUAUUUAUAAUGUAGUUGAAAGGUGACUAGAGGUGUACGGUGUCUUACUCUCUAUAGCUGGUUUGUAUUUCACCAAAACAAUAUCGCUUUAGUGUGAACAAAACUGUGACAAAAAUCACAAGUAAUUCAGUUCUCGCAGUUCGAUUCAUAUGUCGGUAUGUUUCUCAGUGACAAAAAAAAACUGCCUGUUAUAAGGUUGUUGAAAUAUUACUAGAACGGCGUCUUAAGCUAUAUAUUUAGCUUGUAUUUCA